GGGAUUACCUUAGUACGGCGAGUGAAGCGGUAAAAGCUCAAAUUUGAAAUCUGGUACUUUCAGUGCCCGAGUUGUAAUUUGUAGAAUUUGUCUUUGAUUAGGUCCUUGUCUAUGUUCCUUGGAACAGGACGUCAUAGAGGGUGAGAAUCCCGUUUGGCGAGGAUACCUUUUCUCUGUAAGACUUUUUCGAAGAGUCGAGUUGUUUGGGAAUGCAGCUCAAAGUGGGUGGUAAAUUCCAUCUAAAGCUAAAUAUUGGCGAGAGACCGAUAGCGAACAAGUACAGUGAUGGAAAGAUGAAAAGAACUUUGAAAAGAGAGUGAAAAAGUACGUGAAAUUGUUGAAAGGGAAGGGCAUUUGAUCAGACAUGGUGUUUUUUGCAUGCACUCGCCUCUCGUGGGCUUGGGCCUCUCAAAAAUUUCACUGGGCCAACAUCAGUUCUGGCAGCAGGAUAAAUCAUUAAGAAUGUAGCUACCUCGGUAGUGUUAUAGCUUAUUGGAAUACUGCUAGCUGGGAUUGAGGACUGCGCUUCGGCAAGGAUGUUGGCAUAAUGGUUAAAUGCCGCCCGUCUUGAACCACGGACCA
RNAcentral lists this ribosomal RNA (582 nucleotides) under Hanseniaspora guilliermondii. RNAcentral describes it as "partial large subunit ribosomal RNA". It matches the Rfam family "Eukaryotic large subunit ribosomal RNA", at positions 71 to 668 of the family's 3401-position model. The record is from RNAcentral. Lineage: Eukaryota; Fungi; Ascomycota; Saccharomycetes; Saccharomycodales; Saccharomycodaceae.